AAGCGCUAGAUUAUUUGCUGGGAGGACGACAAAUAUAAAACACCCAGUCCCACACACUCAGAAACUCACAAAUGAGGCUAAUCAAGAACCUAGAGACACAAAACACCGCUUGCAUGCACGCGCUUAUAGUUCCCAAACUGGUUCUUUAGACAUAAGGAUGCAGGACCUCGACCAGUUCUGGGGAGGAGGAUGUGGAAGUCGAUCAGGGUUGAUACAGGCUGGGGCCUCAGGGAGAGAAGGGGCAGGAAGGGGAAGUAAGGCUGGCGGGUCCCACACCAAGGUCCAACUGGGAAAGAGGCGGCUCACAGAGUGGAUGGCCUAGCAGAGCCACUCUCCACUGGUAUUCAUAGCUCAGCCGAUUCCCUGGCGUUCCUUUCCUGGACGAAAGGGUCGGAAAGAUCCGGGCAGUGGCCGGAAGAGGCGGGACUCGGAACGGAAGUCCCUUGGCCUGCUUAAGUCACGUGAGAGGCGAUGUUUCGAGCCCAGCUCGCGCGCAGGAAGCAUGGCACUCUGGCGAGCAUACCAGCGGGCCCUGGCUGCUCAUCCGUGGAAAGUACAGGUCUUGACCGCUGGACUAUCUGGAUGAAUAGUCAUUUCUGGAGAAAAGGAGAAAUCUUUAUCCACUGGCUCCCAUCCUACAUUGGCCAAAGGUUCACCCCAUGGGGUGUUAACUUCCCUCCAGUACUAGGCUUAAAGUGCAUAGUCGCUGAAGGCAUUAGUAGCAAAGCCCCAGGAUCUCUGAUGGGCCUGGGUGACAUUAUCUCACAGCAGCUGGUGGAGAGGCGGGGUCUGCGGGAACACCAGACUGGCCGGACCCUUACCAUGGUAUCUCUGGGCUGUGGCUUUGUGGGCCCUGUGGUAGGAGGCUGGUACAAGGUUUUAGAUCGGUUCAUCCCUGGCACCACCAAGGUGGAUGCACUAAAGAAGAUGUUGUUGGAUCAGGGAGGCUUUGCCCCAUGUUUUCUUGGCUGCUUCCUCCCCCUGGUAGGGGCAUUCAAUGGACUGUCAGCCCAGGACAACUGGGCCAAACUACAGCGGGAUUAUCCUGAUGCCCUCAUCACCAACUACUAUCUCUGGCCUGCUGUGCAGUUAGCCAAUUUCUACCUGAUCCCCCUUCAUUACAGGUUGGCUGUUGUCCAGUGUGUUGCUGUUAUCUGGAACUCCUACCUGUCCUGGAAGGCACAUCGACUCUAAGUCUGCCUUGCUUCAUCGUUUCCACCUAGCAGGGAUGCAGCUUGACCCUGGAACGCGCUAUCCUCAGGGACGCGAAGUCUAGUGUCCGGAGGUGCGCUCCUCUGAGGCUUCUACAAUCAUUGCAUGUUCUCCGCUGACGUCAGUCGGAGCUGUCCUGGCACUAUAUAAGGCUGGCGGCAGUCCCGGGGCCGAC
This is an RNA transcript of Nycticebus coucang (slow loris), 1387 nucleotides long. It is a transcript of the gene named mitochondrial inner membrane protein MPV17, with no coding region annotated. The record is from RefSeq and is a predicted model, not a curated record. Lineage: Eukaryota; Metazoa; Chordata; Mammalia; Primates; Lorisidae. The transcript is spliced from 10 exons.